RNAcentral lists this unclassified non-coding RNA (446 nucleotides) under Hevea brasiliensis (rubber tree). Lineage: Eukaryota; Viridiplantae; Streptophyta; Magnoliopsida; Malpighiales; Euphorbiaceae. The record is from RNAcentral.
UAAUUAUAUUAUUAUAAAAAAUAAAGCAUUAAAAAAAAUUUUGUCAAGUCUUUUUAAAUUAAAUGAUUUUUUUUUGUGCAUUGAGUAGGGUAUUCUCCUAUCCUCAUUUUACGAUUGACGGAAUACCAUUCCCCUUCAGGUGCUAGACAUGCAAAGUCAGGCUCACCUUAGGUUGUUGACUUCAUGGAUCGGACAUUUAAUUAAUUUAUGUAGUGUAGUACACGUUCAUCACUACAUCAGAUCCAGUUAGGUUAAAAUCAUUUUAUUGUCGUAAUCCAGCUCUAUUGGUCAGAAAGACACCAGAUUUAGUUUAAUAUAAAGGUCUUGAAACUUGUAGUAAGCUUUAUUGCUAUCAAACCCGAGCUCAAGGCUCAUCGUAUGAAUAAAAUAUUAUUAAAUAUUAUAAAAUAUUAUAAAACAAAUUGUGGAGUCUAACUCAACUCUAA